AUUGAACGCUGGCGGCAUGCUUUACACAUGCAAGUCGAACGGUAACAGGUCUUCGGAUGCUGACGAGUGGCGAACGGGUGAGUAAUGCAUCGGAACGUGCCCAGUCGUGGGGGAUAACGCAGCGAAAGCUGUGCUAAUACCGCAUACGAUCUAUGGAUGAAAGCGGGGGAUCGCAAGACCUCGCGCGAUUGGAGCGGCCGAUGUCAGAUUAGCUAGUUGGUGGGGUAAAGGCCCACCAAGGCGACGAUCUGUAGCUGGUCUGAGAGGACGACCAGCCACACUGGGACUGAGACACGGCCCAGACUCCUACGGGAGGCAGCAGUGGGGAAUUUUGGACAAUGGGCGCAAGCCUGAUCCAGCAAUGCCGCGUGCAGGAAGAAGGCCUGG
This 387-nucleotide ribosomal RNA is filed under the name uncultured bacterium. Its description in RNAcentral is "bacterial SSU rRNA". It matches the Rfam family "Bacterial small subunit ribosomal RNA", at positions 30 to 419 of the family's 1533-position model. The record is from RNAcentral.